UUAGGAAUUUUGGGCAAUGGGCGAMAGCCUGACCCAGCAACGCCGCGUGGGUGACSAAGGCCUUCGGGUCGUAAAGCCCUUCUCCACGGGAAGAUCAUGACGGUACCGUGGGAAUWAGCCCCGGCUAACUACGUGCCAGCAGCCGCGGUAAUACGUAGGGGGCGAGCGUUGUCCGGAUUUACUGGGCGUAAAACGCUUGUAGGCGGCCACGCCAAGUCGGAUGUGAAAUCUCCCGGCUUAACUGGGAGGGGUCAUGCGAUACUGGCGGGCUCGAGGCAGGUAGGGGGAAGCGGAAUUCCCGGUGUAGUGGUGGAAUGCGUAGAUAUCGGGAGGAACACCAGUGGCGAAGGCGGCUUCCUGGACCUGUUCUGACGCUGAGGAGCGAAAGCGUGGGGAGCGAUCCGGAUUAGAUACCCGGGUAGUCCACGCCGUAAACGGUGGGCACUAGGUGUCGGGGGUAUCGACCCCUCCGGUGCCGCAGCUAACGCACUAAGUGCCCUGCCUGGGGAGUACGGCCGCAAGGCUAA
RNAcentral lists this ribosomal RNA (527 nucleotides) under uncultured Chloroflexota bacterium. Its description in RNAcentral is "bacterial SSU rRNA". It matches the Rfam family "Bacterial small subunit ribosomal RNA", at positions 355 to 897 of the family's 1533-position model. The record is from RNAcentral. Lineage: Bacteria; Bacillati; Chloroflexota.